RNAcentral lists this long non-coding RNA (464 nucleotides) under Homo sapiens (human). RNAcentral's name for it is "HSALNT0230831". The record is from RNAcentral. Lineage: Eukaryota; Metazoa; Chordata; Mammalia; Primates; Hominidae.
CUACUUAAGUGAAGUAGUAGAAGAAAAUACUCCACCAAAAAUGGAAAAAGAAGGCUUGGAGAUAAUGAUUGGGAAGAAGAAAGGCAUCCAGGGUCAUUACAAUUCUUGUUACUUAGACUCAACCUUAUUCUGCUUAUUUGCUUUUAGUUCUGUUCUGGACACUGUGUUACUUAGACCCAAAGAAAAGAACGAUGUAGAAUAUUAUAGUGAAACCCAAGAGCUACUGAGGACAGAAAUUGUUAAUCCUCUGAGAAUAUAUGGAUAUGUGUGUGCCACAAAAAUUAUGAAACUGAGGAAAAUACUUGAAAAGGUGGAGGCUGCAUCAGGAUUUACCUCUGAAGAAAAAGAUCCUGAGGAAUUCUUGAAUAUUCUGUUUCAUCAUAUUUUAAGGGUAGAACCUUUGCUAAAAAUAAGAUCAGCAGGUCAAAAGGUACAAGAUUGUUACUUCUAUCAAAUUUUUAUGG